RNAcentral lists this ribosomal RNA (201 nucleotides) under Clostridioides difficile. RNAcentral's name for it is "partial 23S ribosomal RNA". It matches the Rfam family "Bacterial large subunit ribosomal RNA", at positions 1220 to 1421 of the family's 2925-position model. The record is from RNAcentral. Lineage: Bacteria; Bacillati; Bacillota; Clostridia; Peptostreptococcales; Peptostreptococcaceae.
AAUGAUGGGUAGGGGAGCUUCCCAUACGGGUUGAAGCAUGACCGUAAGGACAUGUGGACAGUAUGGGAGUGAGAAUGUUGGCAUGAGUAGCGAGAUGUGGGGGAGAAUCCCACAGGCCGUAAACCCAAGGUUUCCAGGGGAAGGUUCGUCCGCCCUGGGUUAGUCGGGACCUAAGCUGAGGCCGAAAGGCGUAGGUGAUGG